ACAGAACCAUGCAGGAUUAUUCCACUUUUACUGCUCAUAAUGCUUAGCUCUUUUUAAAAUUGUUAUGUUCAGUGCCUUGGGCUCCUGUAAAGGCAGUGGAAGGUGUUACAUAAAUAAAAAUUGAUUGAUUGAGAAAAAUUUGAAGUGUCAGAGAGACCAUUGUGUUUCACCCAAUCCCCCAUCAAAUAAAAAAAAAUUAAAAAUAAAUUAUAAAUAUAUUUGUUUUGAAACUGAUUUAGCCAUUACACCUUAAUUACAGAGAGGUAAUCAGUACCUCAAUCAUGUUAGUGACACACUGAUUUUUUUUUCACCCUUCAGGAACAGAUGACCAAGAUGGGAGCCCAUCAGAUGGCUGUGGAGCAAAGCAGUUGUCAGUGCAAGGAUUUUUUUCAGUGGGUUUCAGGCCAGGCACAUGUGCCACUAACAGACACAGAAAGAGAAUUUUACAAGAUAACUAAAUAUUGAUCACGACAGUACCACCCGGUAUGGACCACACUUAAUCACCUUACCUACAUGGCACGUUACUACAUACACUGACUUUGAAAGUCAGCUUACUCAGGCAGUCUGUGAUAGAUUUGAUUUUAGCAGACAUUAAGUGAAAACAAGAUGGCCACUGUUCUGGGUUCAGGUUACUGUAUAAUGGUUCAAAUUUAACUUUGAAUCCAAAAAGACAAAUGGUUUUGUUAAAUAAUGUAAUGUUUUGGAGCUAGAAAGCGACAUUGUUACAUGAAUCCAUAAAGUUAGGCUUAUUGCCAUUUCAAAUACAUGUUAUGUAUUUCUUUUGUAACAUUAAUAAAAGCACUGGAACUGAUCUCUUGAUUUUUUUAUUUCAAGUACACAUUAAUCUGACAAAGCAGCAUUAACAUAUUCUCUGCACAAUAGAUAAAGUUCCUUAGUGUUUGAACGCUCCCAAUUUUGUGCCAGUAGCAACUGCAGUUCAGCAUCUUACACUCUUAAAAAUGCUGGGUUAUUUUCCUAACCCAACUGCUGGGUUAAGGCUGAAUUUUUAGAGGUUGGGUCAAUUUAACACAUCAUUGGGUUAAAAAUUCUGACCCACCGUAUUGGGUUAAAAAAAGCGGGAAAUAGUAAGAUCCUCCCCCUUGUCUGUGAGCCUGCUUCACCAUUUUAAACCAGAGGAUGACACGGACAUUAAUGGAGCUUCACACCAGCAAGGAUUUAAAAUAAGGUAAGACGUUACUAAUAAAGAGUUUAAAGAUUAAUUUCAUUAAAACUGGACAUGCAGUUGAUAAAGUAACAGAUUUUUAGCCUGUCUGUUCAAGACAACCGACUCAUAGUUUAGAUUAGGUAGCUGGCUACUUAGCUUCCUAGCAUCGAUAAAUGUAUGUUUUAGAUAGAAUGUAACACAGAAUCCGCAGCACAAGUGCUCUGGAAAAUGUUGUGAUCUUCUGUCCACACUCCCUGACAUAGUGAGGCUCUACUGGGGGAUGUUAGGCCUUCUGGCUAUUUUAUACCAGUGGUAGCAUCCCCGCUAACAGCAGAGGGCCUUUAUGCUACAGUCAUGUGAAUAAUGUUACACAUUUCAAUUUUACAGACAAAUGGGUGGAUGUGGCUUUGUUGUUGCUGCCAGUGCUUCUCCAAACUGCACCAUACAAGUUGAAGGAGAGUGUUCCGACCAAGCAGAGGUUCAGCAGGCCUUCACUGACUUCCAACCUACUGGAACCAGUCUGGUGAAGAACCUGAAUGGGACCACAGCGGAGCAUCACAUGUCCUUAUGGCUGCAGAAGACCAUCGAUGUUCCCAAGAAUUUUUUAUCAUCAAUGGAACUGGAAUACCCAUCUGUUCUUAGACAUUUUUUUGUGUUGAUGUCAACUAUCCAAAACCACGUGCACAGAUUUGGGGGUUUAUUCAGACAUGUAUCUUUGCAUCAUGAAUCAGGUGCUGUGAAGCUUUGAGGGCUCAUGUUGCUGUGAUGUAAGGUUGAUGUUCUGCUGACUAAAGCAUUAAGGUGAGUGUUGGAAGCUGAUGGACAUUUACUUCACUACAGUUCUUCCAUUAAAGUUGUUUAACAUGUUUAAGACAUUACAAGUUACGAAAUGUUAAAUAUUUGUCAUUAAAAAAUGCAAUUAGUAGUCAUUUACAAAACAAGUUUGAAUAUGAACGCAUGUUUAGAGAAAGUAGAAAAUGCGACUAUUUGUUAUCUAUGUAUUUUGAAAAUUAACAUAAUUUUUGUGAUAAAGAUUUGACUGAGACAUGUUCAUUUUGUUUUAUUGAAUUAUUUAAUUUGUAUUUUAUUUAUUGUAUUGUAUUUACUAUAGAAUUGGGUCAUUUUAAUCCAAGCUUUAGUAAUUUAAUAACCCAGAAGUUGGGUUUUAUUUUUAACCCAGUUUUGGGUAGUCCUAACUAUACAGUUGGGUCAUUUUAAACCAUUGAUUGGGUAGAAAGCAUAACCCAAUAAGCUGGGUCAAAAUCAUAACCCAACCCUACUUGGUUAAAAUAACCCAGCACUGGGUCGGUCCCUUUUUGACCCAGCACCUGGGUUACAAAACAACCCAAAUUGGGUUAUUUUUUACCCAGCAGUUUUAAGUGUGUAGGUGUGUUCUUGCUGUGUCUUUCUAAAUCCAUGCUUUCGUUCUUUUUUAAACACAGAAACAGUUUUGUUUACCUGUUAGUAGCUACAGUUUCGCCGACGGCUGCCGGCUUCUUCAGGCUGACGCUGUUGGUGGCGCGUCACUUCCUUCUCCGUUUAUCUGCGGGCAGCAGAGACAACUGCCCGCAGAUAAACGGAGAAGGAAGUGACGCGCCACCAACAGCGUCAGCCUGAAGAAGCCGGCAGCCGUCGGCGAAACUGUAGCUACUAACAGGUAAACAAAACUGUUUCUGUGUUUAAAAAAGAACAAAAGCAUGGAUGCAGUUCAGCAUGCUGCUCUUCAGUGAGGGGACUGUCGAACUCCGGGACCACAGCAGCACCGUCCACAUCUGGGCUGUACUCUGCAGCAACAUCCCAGUCGAUGUCUGGCUCUUGGAAAUCCUGACAUUACAACAAGAGAACAAUGAUGAUGUUUCUAUAUUGAGCUGCAAUUUGUCAACAAAUAAGCAAAAUUUCCUAAAUUUUAAUAGAAACCAAAUUAUCACAUUGUUGUGCAGGAUUACUAUAUGUCAAAAUUAGAUUUAAAAAAAAUUACAAAUAGCAGGGACAAGAAUAACAAAAAUUCAAAAUGGUUUUGAUUUAGAACUUUUACUAUUUUGCAGGGGUGUAAUUGUCAUUUACUUGCAUCACCGUAAUUAAGUACAGUUUGCAAUUUAAAAUGUUUAACCUUUAGUAGGUUUUAGGGCUGGUUGAUGAAUAAAAGCAUAUUAAUUUAAAAAAAUCUAAUCGAUCGAUAGAUAAUUAUUUCAAAAUUUUAAAACCGUAGAAGAGAAUAUAUAUUGAAUUGCAUCCCUGGCCAUUUUAUGCUAUUUCUUUAAGCGACAGUCUGUAGUUUUCUGCCACUAGGGGGCAGUACGUACCUAAAUCAUAACAAACAAGCUACAUUUUUGUGUUCCGUGAUGAGCCUACCAAUGAAUAGCCGUAAAGGCCACAAAAAAAGCACUGGGAGUGUUGCAGCACAAUUUUUUUACGGGCUAACUACCUUGUCAGAUCGUUCAACCUCCUGCAAAAUGACAACAGGCACAUCGGACUCCCUUUCAUCAGUCAGCAGUAGAGAAAUGCCAUAUUUCACAUUCAGUAUCUUUUAAAGCGGCGUUCAGUAUGUUCAUAGAGCUCCUCAUUUAGCUUCAUGUUUGUGUUUCAAUCUUUAUUGAAAUAAUUUUUUAAACUUCCUGUAGAAAGCAAGGAGAUCGUGACGUAACAGUUUUUUUUAUUUUUAUAUAACUUUAUUAACAAACAAAGCUUACAGGCAGAUGUAACUGCUGGUUGUUGGAACUGUGAGCUGCACAAAAACAGGCAUAGUUGCUCCAAUGACUGGAUUCAAAUUGGGUUUUGGAGUUAGAAACCUACUCAAUAUGGCGGUGAAGCAGUUACUCUCCAGCAGCCAAUGAUGUCUAUGGUACGGCUUAUGUACAGAGAAACAUGCUGUCUAAAGCCUGGUUCAUGCUUCUCCGUCAGCUCCGCAAGGGACAGACACGCACGGAUUGACGGAAGUGUUUUGCUCUCAUACUUCUCCGUCUCCUGGAGAGUGUUGCAAAGCAAUUCCUCGGCAGGACAACAGAGGGCGUAGCGCUGUUCUGUGGUAUCCUGUCAUGUAUUGGUCCAAGAUCGUGUGUUUAUAUUGUAUUUUUUGUGUAUAUAAGAGACUUUUAACACGGACAUAUUUGUCUCUCAUUCUCCUCCACCUCUUCAUGCGCUCGCCACCUCUAAACCCACGUUUCCUGUCAUUUCCGUCCACAAAUAAAACGCUUGCUGCGCAUCUUCUCUCUCCUCCAGUCACGGGGGAACUAAAAGUUCAUGUUUUUAGAGUUUUUUCGCGAGGUAUUCUUCAAGCUGCUCCGUGUCUGCUGCUUGUUAUUCUCGGCUCUCUUUAUGUUUUUGAGGGUGCAAUGGCGGCGCUGUAAACAACAGCGGCAUCCUGACCAAUCACAAGCUUGCGUUGUCUGUCUCGACUGACGGCUGUUUAGAAAAGAGAGCUUUACUCCGUCCGUCCUUGCGGAGCUCUCCGGCAGGCACGCAAGGACGUCGCGUGUCUCCGCACUGACGCAGACGGAGAAGCAUGAAUCAGGCUUAAGGCUACGUUCACAUGGCAGGUCUUAAAAAUCCAUUCAGAAUUUUUGAGUAAAUUUAAUGUUUUGUGUGGUUGUUCACAUUAUAACUGAAAUACAACAGCAAACACUCUCCUGCGUUAACGUUAAAAGUACAGAAGAGAACAAGAACUCACACACUAGGAGCUCUGUGGAGUCUGAACUGAGAGGUGGAGCUGUGAUCCCAAGAGCUUCACUGACAGACUUCAUCCACAAUUCCAGGAUCACACCUGUCAAGUCUCCUGUUUUGAGCUGGAAACUAUUUUUAAAACUAAACUAUUUUACUCCUUAUUCUCACAGUCGUCCCAUGUUAGUAUUUUCCCUCACUUAAGCCGCUUUCACAUCUGGGUCGGCAUGGAUGCGUUCGGAACCAAAUGUUUUGUUCGCAUAUGGCUCACAUGUGUGUAUUUCGUUCUAAGGAGACUUUUUUUUCCAGACUACUUCCCUCGGAGGUCCGACUGGUGCCGAGCAGACACUAUGGACUGAUUGGCAGCUGAAACUCACACCUACCGCCUCCUAUUGGGGAGUUGGAUCAAACACCGGGGGGUUUCCGCAUAUGCGAUUACUUUUCAUCCUGGUUGCUGUUUAGCCCACAUGAAGCACUGAGCUGCUGUCACCCGCUCCGCAGCAGAGGAGGACAGCAGUGUGUGUGUGUGUAGCAGCGGUUAUAAGGACACGUCUGCAGCGGAGGACACUACAGCGCUGAAGUAGGAAGGAUUAGAGGAGAGCAGAUUAUUAGAGAAGCGCAGUGUGUGUUGGUGCAGUGGUUUGAUGAGGAAUUAUUGUUUAGCAUAGGCGGACACCGCAGACUUCUUCCGCGCGUCUUUACCGCCGCCCACAUGCUCGGGGAUUUCCGCAUUCCUGAGAAGCCCUGGGAAUCACAUGUGAACAAGAAACCACCCGUUCUAUUCCGAACUCACGCGGCUGAGCCCCGACCAUAGCAAAGCAUCAAAAAACGGAACCAGAAAAACUUUUAGCGCUGAACUCACCUUCAAAAUUAAAUGUUAACCCUAACGUUUACAGUUGAAGCCAUUACAACAUGUUUGAGGUAAUUUGGCCACUCCGGCUCUCUGUAGUGGUUUCCCAAUUACACGAGGGAGGGAGGGGUAAACAGAACUCCGUUGGUAACCACGGUGAACAGGCUUGAUGAAACAUGAACGAAUAUCCCCAAAUAAUUAAAAACCAUGAAGCCAAAUGCAAAGUUUAGGGCAGAACAUUGACCCAGAGGUUUUCUGAUUGAGCAGAUUUGUGAGAAUACAUGAAAUGACCGCUUACAGACGGAGCAAGCUAGUUGCUAGCUUAUGUGGCUUGACUAGUUAUAACAAUACAAAGUCAUCUUGUUUCUCGUUUAAAAUUAUAUUUAUAAUUUUAAAAUAUCUAUAUAUUGCCCAGCCCUAGCUGUAGCCUAUACUACACUGCUUACAUCAUUUCAGAAUUUAAUUUCACUAUGUAAAAAAAAAAUACAGUCAAUUGCAGAAAGCCUCUUUCUAAGAUGAAUAAUAAAGCAUCAUUGGAAUAAUUUAAUUUCAAACCACUGAAUAGACCAAUGCAGAUGUCAAAUAUUUACAUUUCUACACUUAACUUACCUUGACAUUUCUUGAUGAACUGUAGACCGAGGGAUAGUCUGUUAAGGUGUUGUCGCUGGUGUUGUGCGCUGUGGCACAGUUGGUGUUUGUUGCGGGCCCUCUGCUUGUAGAUGAGCAUUCAGUAAAUCCAUAAGGUUUCUCGUAACUUCUCGGAUGGAACCAGUCUAAAGAAAUACAACAAAAAACACAGAAAAAGUUGUAUUUGGUUAUACAGCAAAUGGGAAACACCUACAAAUUGAAAAAAAUUGUAAUUGGCUUGCACAUUUAUUGAAAUUUAUCAAGUCCAAGGCCUACAAAGCACUUUACACAACAACCACACCCUUUUCACAUGCUUACGGUGGUGAUAAGCCAGAUAGUAGCUACAGCUGCCCUGGGGCACACUGACAGAGGCGGGCCUGCUGAACACUGGCACCACCGGUCCCUCCGACCACCAACAGCAGGCAAAGUUGGUUAAGUGUCUUGCCCAAGGACACAACAGCAGCACUCUCUGGUUGGAGCUGGGAUGGAACCUGCUGUUUAUCUGGCCCUGACCCACGCCUGUUCCCUGACCAUGCACCAACCUGCUUCCCUGGAUUACCAUGAGAAUUUCAGGACUAAACUUUUAAUAAAGCUUUUACACAUUUUCUUAUUUUCUGGUGUCAUUACAGGUCCUCCACCUCAGCCAUUACAUUCAUUUUCCUCUACAUCUUCUGUGGUUUAACAUGCAACAGUGAAUUGUGCUGCAUCAUGGUACCACAGACUGUGUAAUACAACAUUUCGCGCAUUUCACAGAAAACAAAUGUUAGUUCGCUUACACCAGAAAUACAACCUUACUCAUUGCUGAGACUUAGAAACAGAAACUGUUUUUGUUUUGUUACUGCUUAUGUAACCCCAGACUCAGUAUUAGUAAGUUAGGCUCAUUAUGUUUAAAGACCAGCGGCUAGGUUUGACAGGAUUACAAAAAGAAAUAAUGCAAGUGCAAAAUGAAAUGGAAGGAGGCAGGAAUUGAGCAAAAAUAGAAAUUGUUAUUUUGUUGGGGAAAUUACUACUGGAUUACACUCACUUAACAUAGCAUUAAUAUUUUCAGAAACCUACCAACAGAUUGAAAGCUAGCUGACGCGCCAGUCAGGGCAGGUGUUGUGUCAAAAUGUGUUUCCCUAUCAAAAACGGUUUUCUCCUACGGCUUUGGUCAAAAUUUUCCAUCGUUCAAUUAUAACGAGUUCCACUUUUUAAUAACAUUCUCUUACUUUGAUGACCCAUCUUGUUCAUUACAGCGCGAGAAAAACAUUGGGAUACAUUUAUGUCGAUGGAUGAAACACAUUUUGAUAGUUAGCAGUUAGAUGAGGAAACAAUGUUCAUGGAGUAAACGCUAACGAAUAACUACUGUAAUGUCCAAAGAGCUAACUAUUAAAAACAAAGGUGGGAAUACUAAACAAAAAACAUCUACACUAGGUCCAGAGCUAGCAUUGGGGACGAGUGAUAUGUUAGGGUAAAACUCAAAUCUGCUGAGGCCAUUUUAUGAAAGUUGUAGCUAUAGUGAAUAACCUAAUCCACCUAGCUAUGUGCCCCUGUUGCAAUAUUAAAUGCGAGGAGUCGUAAAAAGUAGCAUAACAAAACAAUUUUAUGGAAUAAACUGCAGCUAGUAGCCUUGAAAAAUAACUUACUUGAGCGUCUUGUUGGUUCUGGUCCAUUUUGCUGGUGCAGGUGAAACUCUCGCUCCAGAUCAGAGCGGGUAUUAGCCAGGCUGUUAGUGCGCAGAUGCGGCAGCCACACAGGAAAGUCCACAGAGCGCAAAACGAGCGCACCCCAAAGAGGUUUGUUCCCGCCCAGUCCCACAAGUCUUUCUAUUGGCUGAGCGGUUGCUAGGAGAUUGUACUUCUAAGUUUUGAGCGAGAGCAGACAAGAUCCGUGAGAGCAGGGGACAGACUUGUGGGAGGAGUUUUGAUCCGUGUAGAGAAAAAGUUGUCACAUGAGAAGACAAUACCAGUGUAAGAAGGUUAAAUCUGAGCGCAAAAACAAAGAUUUGAAGGAGAACAGAGUGAAUUUGAAAGAGAGCAGACAUUUUGAGCGCAAGCA
Molecule: non-coding RNA, 8336 nt
Organism: Nothobranchius furzeri (turquoise killifish)
Lineage: Eukaryota; Metazoa; Chordata; Actinopteri; Cyprinodontiformes; Nothobranchiidae
Source: RefSeq, a predicted model, not a curated record